Molecule: ribosomal RNA, 209 nt
Filed under: uncultured bacterium
Lineage: Bacteria
Description: partial 16S ribosomal RNA
Rfam family: Bacterial small subunit ribosomal RNA
Source: RNAcentral
GACGAACCGUGCGAACGUUGUUCGGAAUCACUGGGCUUAAAGGGCGCGUAGGCGGGCUGCCGAGUCCGGGGUGAAACUCCUCCCGCUCAACGGGAGAACGGCCCCGGGUACUGGCGGCCUCGAGGCGGGGUAGGGGCGUGCGGAACGACUGGGUGGAGCGGUGAAAUGCGUUGAUAUCCAGUGGAACUCCGGUGGCGAAGGCGGCACGC